GCAGUGGUGGUUCAGUGGAAGAAUCCUUGCCUUUCAUGCGGGAGACCUGGGUUUGAUUCCCUGCCAAUGCA
RNAcentral lists this transfer RNA (71 nucleotides) under Loxodonta africana (African savanna elephant). It matches the Rfam family "tRNA". Rfam says of the family: Transfer RNA (tRNA) molecules are approximately 80 nucleotides in length. Their secondary structure includes four short double-helical elements and three loops (D, anti-codon, and T loops). Further hydrogen bonds mediate the characteristic L-shaped molecular structure. tRNAs have two regions of fundamental functional importance: the anti-codon, which is responsible for specific mRNA codon recognition, and the 3' end, to which the tRNAs corresponding amino acid is attached (by aminoacyl-tRNA synthetases). tRNAs cope with the degeneracy of the genetic code in two manners: having more than one tRNA (with a specific anti-codon) for a particular amino acid; and 'wobble' base-pairing, i.e. permitting non-standard base-pairing at the 3rd anti-codon position. The record is from Rfam by way of RNAcentral. Lineage: Eukaryota; Metazoa; Chordata; Mammalia; Proboscidea; Elephantidae.